GUGAACGCUGGUAACGUGGAUACCGGCAUGCAAGUCACGGGGGCCGCAAGGCAACCGGCGAACGGCUUAGUAACACGUGGGUACAUACCCUAAAGCGGAGCAUAGCUCGUCGAAAGACGGGGUAAUUCUCCAUAGUCUCGCAAGAGUAAAGCAGCAAUGCGCUUUAGGAAUGGCCUGCGGCCUAUCAGAUUGUUGGCGAGGUAAUAGCUCACCAAGUCUAUGACGGGUAGGGGGCGUGAGAGCGCGACCCCCAAGAAUGGCACUGCGACACGGGCCAUACUCCUACGGGAGGCUGCAGUCGAGAAUCUUCCGCAAUGGACGAAAGUCUGACGGAGCGACGUUACGUGAAUGAAGACGCCCUUCGGGGUGUAAAGUUCUUUUAUCUGGGAGGAAGCCGCAAGGCAGACAGUACCAGAUGAAUAAGGGGAUCCUAAUUCUGU
RNAcentral lists this ribosomal RNA (440 nucleotides) under uncultured bacterium. Its description in RNAcentral is "bacterial SSU rRNA". It matches the Rfam family "Bacterial small subunit ribosomal RNA", at positions 29 to 506 of the family's 1533-position model. The record is from RNAcentral.